Girardinichthys multiradiatus is the source of this 574-nucleotide long non-coding RNA. RefSeq lists it as uncharacterized. The transcript is spliced from 2 exons. The record is from RefSeq and is a predicted model, not a curated record. NCBI's taxonomy places the organism in Eukaryota, Metazoa, Chordata, Actinopteri, Cyprinodontiformes, Goodeidae.
GUGCUGGAGUUUCUCAAGUGUGCUGGGUGACAGGUGCAACUGAUCUGCUGAUUGCAUUGGAGGAGUAUUUUAGCAGGAGGCUGCCUGCACUUCUUUGCCAGAGUGUUUGCCUUACGUGGUAACAAACUCAGCCACCUCUAAGCGAUGCUUUGUUCUUUGCUUCUAGGCUGAUAUUGUUUAUGUUCCUUUGCAGGCAGAAACCAGAACCUACUGAUCAUUCUUUGUUGAACUUUGGCUUCAGUUCUGGAAGUUUCUGGACAAUCAGGAUUACCUACGUUUGGUGGAUCUCAUUUGGAUUUCGUUCCAAGUACAAAGCUGGCAGCUUCCUGUUAUCCUCCGUCUCCUGAACCAAGCAAGAAGCGUACCCUGUCCACCCUCCAACGCAAGUACCUGAGCAUUGAAUUAACCCCUGAACUCACCAGAACUUGCUCUACAGCUCAAGUAGAACCAUCUGGAUUUCUCCACCUUGCACACCUGGGUCCCUCUACCCCUGGCGACCUGACUACGCUCUCUUAUUGGUGAUUCUACCGUUCACAUUCCAGUAUCACUUUGUAAAUAAAACACCUUUCGCUAA